GGAAACCGCUUGUUCAUUGGGCAGUUCAGCCGCUUCUCCACUUGCCCCGCGCGCUCAUUGCGUCUAGGAGGGGAUCCAUUGAUCAGCGAAGCUGUUCCUCAGAGUGGAGGCGGGAUUCUUAGGGGAGAGCUCCUCAGCAAUUGGUUACAUUUGACGGCUUUAGUCCAGGGACCCAGACGCUACUGGAUAAGGGGUGAAAUUUGAGGUCAUAUCCCGGGAGAGAGGAAGAAGGGUCGUGAGUCACCGAACCCGAAGGAGAGGAAAAGAUGUGGAGGCAGCGGUCUAUGGCCUCUUCCAGCUCCGGACGGGGGAUGGGGACGCUCUGGGCAAUACGGGCCUCAGUUAUUGUCCCACUGUCCUUUCAACCCUUAACCAACCCAGUUGGAGGCCGCCUGGAAGAAUGUAGCCUUGGAACUAGGGCCUGGAAUUGGGGCUCCUACCGGUUGUGUGGGCUUGGGCAAGUCACUUAACCUUCCCGCAUGCUCCCUUCACUUGGCAACUGAGGGUAACAAUAGUAGUUGAUGAGAAGAUUAAAUAAACUCUGAUAAAUGCCAACAGUGGCUGGCACUCAA
This is a long non-coding RNA of Homo sapiens (human), 572 nucleotides long. The record is from Ensembl. Lineage: Eukaryota; Metazoa; Chordata; Mammalia; Primates; Hominidae.